This 100-nucleotide small nuclear RNA is filed under the name Phaethon lepturus (White-tailed tropicbird). Lineage: Eukaryota; Metazoa; Chordata; Aves; Phaethontiformes; Phaethontidae. The record is from RNAcentral.
GCUCAUUUCAGCAUGCAUAUACUAAAAUUGGAAGAGCACAGAGAUUAGCACAGCACUGUGCAAGGAUGACAACCAAAUUUGUGAGUUAUUCCACAUUAUG